UGCCCGAUCCGUUCUGCAGGCCCAUACGCGACCCAAGUAGAGUGGGCGCACCAUGAAGCAGGAAAGAAGGGGUAAAGUUCCUCGCCGCCGGCGGCCACCGUGCGCGAGAAAGGAGACGCCGUCCGCCCUGAGCUCCCCUCCUCCCUGCCGGUGCUCCCGGUGCCCGCCGCCGUCUCUGCCCGGCUUCCCUGUCACGGUGGCCGAGCCGCUCGCUUCCUUUCCCCACAGGUCGCGGGCCACGGCCUCCUCCUCUACGGAUGAUUGAUUUGGAACAAAAGUUGCUCCAGGUCCAGGAUGGUCCCUGACAAGGCGAAAAAACAGAGCAGUUCUAGAUUCAUGAAGAUGGUGGCCUUGGAGGUUUUCUGAAGAGCUAAAGGAUGGAAAACAGUUGGGAUAAAAGUAGCUUUGGUGCCUGCACCGGUAGUAUAUGAUGCUAGCUUUUGCUGUCUUAGCUGCUGGAUUUUGAUGAUUUUGCAAGCUUGAUGUGAUUAUGCAAACUGUUAGGAUCUGAGUCUAAACUCCAGCACCUUUUCUUGCCUUUUUUUUGGCUUUCGUUGUGUUUUUAGUUCAGCAUUGUACUCUGUCAUGUUUCGUUAAUUCAGCUGGGUGCAAGGCCUCUGUAUAAUGAUAAUAAUAAAAUAUAAGAUUUCUUUUUGUAUAAAAAAGAGUUUAUGCUUUCAAUUAUUAUAUUAUCAAUUCUUGCUUCUUCUCAUGCUUUACCGUCAGUAGAUUACUUGACGUUUAAGAGAGCAUUUGAGAGCUUUUCAUCAACUGUCAAGUUUACUGUGGUGUUUUGUUUCCUAGGUAUCACAGUAGCAGCAGAAUAUUAUUCGAGCAGUUAGUUGGUUGAACUUGUGCAGUGAUUAUUGUUGUGCCUGGUGGAUGAGAAAAUUAUAUUUUAAUCAGAAGGGCUUGUUACAUAAGUAGAGGCUUCAUAUAACAUGUUGUUUGUUGUUUCAUUUCCUGCUUAUGUCUCAGACUUGGUGAUGGUUGAUUCAGUUGAUCGAUAUCUCGUAUUUUUUCAAAUAUCAAUGUAUGAAUGUAUUAAUUAGGUUCUCAAUAUAUAUUUGCUACAGGUAUGGCUGUAGUCUACACUUCUUCAGAUGUAUACAUACUUUUUUUUAGGUUAUGCUUAUGCUUAACCACACUGAUUAUUUUGCUUCAAAAAAGCUGCCUGCUGCCGUAUUAACACUUAGGGGUAACUUGAAUAAGGGCAAUUCCAUGACUUCACAAAUUGUAAAGAGGUGAGCCUUCAACUUCUGUUUUUUGAAACAGGUGAUAUUAUACAUAUUCAGUUUCUUUUUUACUUCAGCACAUCAAUGCGAUGUUUAUUAAUGCUCCUAAUUCUUCUACCCUAUUGCAGUUACUGAAGGGAACCCGCACGCUUCCAUCCCAUGACCCCUAAAACUGUCGACUAUUGCUAAUGGUUCUGGAGCUUCAAAUUUAGUUUGCUCUUUCUUUGGAAUGGAAUUAAUACAAGCAUUUCCCAAGUUUGGAACCAGAAGAUUCUUUUCAAGCAGACAUCAUAGAGUCAAACACAUAUGCCUAUCAGAAACUGGAAAAGGCUCCUGAGUUUUAGGUUAGGUGAUUGAGCCGUCUGUUUGCGCAAGUGAAGUAGGUUGCAUAUGUAUAUGAUUGAGGUACCUGAGGUCUUGACUCCCUAUCAAAAGGUUUUGUCAUGGAGCAAACUGGGCGCUUUUUAUCUCAUCUAGAAAGUGACCUAAAUCUCAUAGAGUUAUGAUAUAAACUUCCUAUACCAACUCUGCUCAUGCCGAUUUGCUGAGUCAGCAAGCUAUGGUCGAACAGUGGCACAACAAUCUGUCAAAAUAAAUUCAGGUCAUUAUACUAGGUUGACAUGAUAUUGAUAUUAUUAUUUUGCGUGCAUAGAAAGAAAAGCCUUCAGUUUAAGAAAAAAACUCUGCUAAAAUUAUUUUCAAAUUUGUGGAGGACAUUUUAGUUUUUUUUACAGGGAUGUUUUAGGUUUACUUGGUGCUCUUUUUCUGUAGCACUUGUUGGUGCCCAGUACAAUCCCUUUGUCACAGAAUCUUUCUGCUUAGCUGCUCACAACUGUUGCAAUAAUGUUGCUAAAAUAAGUAGGAGGGCUAGGUUCUUCGCAAAUAGGGAAACCAUUAUUGCAUAGGAGCGGCUUUGGUUCCUUGUCAGUUUGGAUAGUUUAAAUUGGCAAAAGAAUGACCUAUUGCAGUGUAGCCUUGUACAUUCACUUUUCUUUGUUAACUCCAGAUCCACAAUAUCCUUCGUUUAUUCUGCAACAGCAAGUUGGCAACAUCUUUGACCAACUAAUUUUCGGUUCUACAGCGACCAUUUUCAUUAUGUAGGCAUAUGGCACACUGCACAGUUAAUUAAUAACAAAUAUCAAGCAGCAUCACGCCUUGUCUUAGAUUCUUCUACCGAAUCCGACUGCAUAGAUUAAUUAUUGGCUGCUUAAUCUACUAUUAUAUUCCUUGUCAUCACAAGGCACGCGCUGGUCCAUGAUUAAGGCCCAUUUACAAACUGUGUAUCUUUCAAUCAGCUGCUGGUCCCAGCGCGGAAAGGUAAAAUAAACAUAUCGAUGGAUCCCAUUAUAAGGUUUCAGAUGGUUUACAAAUGCACUGAUUUUGUCUUCUCUACUUGUUCCUGCUGCAAGAGAUUGCUCUGUUUCCGCCCAUUGUCCUUGGUCCUCCAUCUUACAUGCAGUUGCUUAAACUUUUCUGUUCCAUUUCAUUAUGCACGAUAAAUUUCUGUUCCGUUUCAAAAAAAGCUUUCAUACUUAUACCGAAUUUGGUUUGUUCGUGUGCAUUCAUUCAAUCCUGUAAAGGAUCCAUGGAAGGCUACUAGACGAAAAGAUAAGCAAUUUGUUUUGGCAUACCGAGCUUGUAUGACAUGCGUGGCCCGACAUAACUUGCAAUGCGGGACAUGACAAAAGCGGCAACCAAACAAGCUCUUUCUAAAACCAAGGGAAAGGCUCCACACGGUAGCCACUACAGUUUCCAAAUUCCAAUGCUCGCGUGUUAGUCGUUCCCAAGAUUUUACAACCCCGAAUGGAUGCCCCUCGCGAGAAGCCGCUGCUCUUCCUGUGUGAGGAACACGCAUUGAGGUCAACAUGCAUGUGUGAGAGCUCGGCCCAAGUAAAGCAGAUCAUAUGCAAAAGCUGUGCGGACUGGCCAUGCGUGCGUGCACGCGUACGGCAAGUGUGUACGUGGAGAAGAUGAACAGGACGCGCAAGUCAGCAAGCCCUGUGAAUCUGGCAAUCUGGGUGGUCGCCGGCCAAGU
Molecule: long non-coding RNA, 3270 nt
Organism: Aegilops tauschii subsp. strangulata
Lineage: Eukaryota; Viridiplantae; Streptophyta; Magnoliopsida; Poales; Poaceae
Source: RefSeq, a predicted model, not a curated record